Molecule: non-coding RNA, 779 nt
Organism: Cinara cedri
Lineage: Eukaryota; Metazoa; Arthropoda; Insecta; Hemiptera; Aphididae
Source: the annotation of a GenBank genome assembly
UAUAAAAAAAAAAAAAAACAAUAAUUUAUAUAAGUGAUCCCCAAUUCAACAUUAGGCAUAAACCACUGCUGUACAUUUUCUACCAUCAUGGACCACUACUUAAUUCCACUCCACCCUCACUUAAUUCUUUAUAAUUUAUAUGUUCAUAUGCAUCUGUUUGCCACAGCCAACCUUAUGUUUAUUUUGCUAUGCAUGUUGUUUUUCUGGUCCCGUGUUACUCCUAGAUAUUGAAAAUCUCUUACCUAUUCUAUUGUGUUUAAUUGGCAAAGCAAUAUUAUUAACUGAUCCGCACAGAAUCAUUUUUCAUUAGCAAUGAUAAUUUAGCAUAGAUAACUGUUAACUGUUAGGUAGAUAUAUAUUAAAUUUCCUGUUUACCUUCCCAACUUCUUACCUACAAGAGUGGCCUUCCCAUAUGUGAAGUAUGUUUAUUUUUUAGACUUUGAGUAUAUCGAAGAAUGUAUUGGUUUUACAAAGAUGUAUAUUUUUUUUUUUUUAUAUAUAUAUACUGUGUAAACAAAUUCCACCAGAAAUCUUGCACCAUUUCUAAAAGGAAACAUUGUCAUUAUUUUGGGAGGUCAUAUUUUGAUUUUCCAAAUGGUUUUCAUAAUAUCUAGAUAAAACGUUAGAAAACUGCAAAUUUAGGAAAAUAAUGCUUUUAUUAUUUUUCAAUUUUAUUAUUUGUUGUAUUUAAAUUAAAAAUAUUUGUAUAGACUUGAUAUUUGGACAGGAAAAGUUAUAUUUGCCUUUUAUAGACAUGAUCAAUUUUCAAAACAUUUGAG